This 253-nucleotide ribosomal RNA is filed under the name uncultured bacterium. RNAcentral describes it as "partial 16S ribosomal RNA". It matches the Rfam family "Bacterial small subunit ribosomal RNA", at positions 524 to 776 of the family's 1533-position model. The record is from RNAcentral.
UACGGAGGGUGCAAGCAUUAAUCGGAAUUAUUGGGCGUAAAGGGCGCGUAGGCGGUUUGUCGCGUCGGCUGUGAAAACCUGGGGCUCAACCCCGGGCCUGCAGCCGAUACGGGCAGACUAGAAUUCGGUAGGGGAGUCCGGAAUUCCUGGUGUAGCGGUGAAAUGCGCAGAUAUCAGGAGGAACACCGGUGGCGAAGGCGGGACUCUGGGCCGAUAUUGACGCUGAGGAGCGAAAGCGUGGGGAGCAAACGGG